GAGAAUUUGAAAUGAAGGAGAAUUUGAAUUUGAUGUUAGCUUUGGUGCUUGUGGUUUAUGCACUUCAUUUAGAUUCAUAUAAUGACAAUUUUGUUCAUGAAUAUGGCUGAAGAUUUUUUUGAUAAUGUUUUGAACUGAUUACCAACAGGGUGUCACAGACAGUAAGAUUUGGUUAAAGAAGAUUCGCUUCUUUCUGCAAGUCCAAAUCCUAGUGACAAUUUCAACAAAGAACUCAAAUACAA
RNAcentral lists this unclassified non-coding RNA (242 nucleotides) under Hevea brasiliensis (rubber tree). The record is from RNAcentral. Lineage: Eukaryota; Viridiplantae; Streptophyta; Magnoliopsida; Malpighiales; Euphorbiaceae.